This 465-nucleotide ribosomal RNA is filed under the name uncultured bacterium. RNAcentral describes it as "partial 16S ribosomal RNA". It matches the Rfam family "Bacterial small subunit ribosomal RNA", at positions 28 to 507 of the family's 1533-position model. The record is from RNAcentral.
GACGAACGCUGGCGGCGUGCUUAACACAUGCAAGUCGAACGGAAAGGCCCUGCUUGCAGGGUACUCGAGUGGCGAACGGGUGGGUAACACGUGGGUGAUCUGCCCUGCACUUCGGGAUAAGCCUGGGAAACUGGGUCUAAUACCGGAUAGGAGCCAUCUUUAGUGUGAUGGUUGGAAAGUUUUUUCGGUGUGGGAUGAGCUCGCGGCCUAUCAGCUUGUUGGUGGGGUAAUGGCCUACCAAGGCGGCGACGGGUAGCCGGCCUGGGGGGGUGGACGGCCACAUUGGGGCUGGGAUUCGGCCCAGGCUCCCACGGGGGGGAGGAGUGGGGAAUAUUUGAAAAUUGGCGGGAGCCUGAUGCAGCGACGCCGGGGUGGGGAAUACGGGCUUCGGGUUGGAAACUCCUUUCGCUAGGGACGAAGCUUUGUGUGACGGUACCUAGAUAAGAAGCACCGGCUAACUACGUG